AACCUAGCACACCUGCGGUGUGUACCUGCGGAGGGAUCAUUACAGAGUUGCAAAACUCCCCAAACCAUUGUGAACCUUACCUUCAAACGUUGCUUCGGCGGGCGGGCCACAGCGCCCCCCGGGCCCCCCCAGCGGGGGCGCCCGCCGGAGGAUACCCAAACUCUUGAUACUUUAUGGCCUCUCUGAGUCUUCUGUACUGAAUAAGUCAAAACUUUUAACAACGGAUCUCAGAUCGGAAGA
RNAcentral lists this unclassified non-coding RNA (240 nucleotides) under soil metagenome. RNAcentral describes it as "partial contains 5.8S ribosomal RNA, internal transcribed spacer 2, and large subunit ribosomal RNA". The record is from RNAcentral.